UACGUAGGGUGCAAGCGUUGUCCGGAAUUAUUGGGCGUAAAGAGCUCGCAGGCGGUCGAUCAAGUCGAGUGUGAAAGCCCCCGGCUCAACUGGGGAGGGUCAUUCGAUACUGAUCGACUCGAAGGCAGGAGAGGGUAGUGGAAUUCCCGGUGUAGUGGUGAAAUGCGUAGAUAUCAGGAGGAACACCGGUGGCGAAGGCGGGUCUCUGGGCCGAUACUGACGCUGAGGAGCGAAAGCGUGGGGAGCGAACAGG
RNAcentral lists this ribosomal RNA (253 nucleotides) under uncultured bacterium. Its description in RNAcentral is "partial 16S ribosomal RNA". It matches the Rfam family "Bacterial small subunit ribosomal RNA", at positions 524 to 776 of the family's 1533-position model. The record is from RNAcentral.